Molecule: ribosomal RNA, 482 nt
Filed under: uncultured bacterium
Lineage: Bacteria
Description: partial 16S ribosomal RNA
Rfam family: Bacterial small subunit ribosomal RNA
Source: RNAcentral
AUUGAACGCUGGCGGCAUGCCUUACACAUGCAAGUCGAACGGUAACGGGCCUUCGGGUGCCGACGAGUGGCGAACGGGUGAGUAAUACAUCGGAACGUGCCCGAUCGUGGGGGAUAACGAGGCGAAAGCUUUGCUAAUACCGCAUACGAUCUACGGAUGAAAGCAGGAGACCGCAAGGCCUUGCGCGGACGGAGCGGCCGAUGGCAGAUUAGGUAGUUGGUGGGAUAAAAGCUUACCAAGCCGACGAUCUGUAGCUGGUCUGAGAGGAUGAUCAGCCACACUGGGACUGAGACACGGCCCAGACUCCUACGGGAGGCAGCAGUGGGGAAUUUUGGACAAUGGGCGCAAGCCUGAUCCAGCCAUGCCGCGUGCAGGAUGAAGGCCUUCGGGUUGUAAACUGCUUUUGUACGGAAAGAAAAGCCUUCUUUUAAUACAGGAGGGUCAUGACGGUACCGUAAGAAUAAGCACCGGCUAACUACGUG